GAUGAAGAACGCAGCGAAAUGCGAUACGUAAUGUGAAUUGCAGAAUUCAGUGAAUCAUCGAAUCUUUGAACGCAUAUUGCGCUCUCUGGUAUUCCGGAGAGCAUGCUUGUUUGAGUAUCAGUAAACACCUCAACUUCCAUAUCUUUUUUGAAAUGGGAGUUGGACUUGAGUGAUCCCAACGCUUUUCCUCACCGAAAAGUGGCGGGUUACUUGAAAUGCAGGUGCAGCUGGACUUUUCUCUGAGCUAUAAGCAUAUCUAUUUAGUCUGCCUAAAAAACAGAUUAUUACCUUUGCUGCAGCUAACAUAAAGGAGAUUAGUUCUUGUGCUGACUGAUGCAGGAUUCACAAAGACGGCUUCGGCCGACUUUGUAAACUCGAUCUCCAAUCAAGUAAGACUACCCGCUGAACUUAAGCAUAUCAAUAAGCGGAGGA
RNAcentral lists this unclassified non-coding RNA (432 nucleotides) under soil metagenome. RNAcentral describes it as "partial contains 5.8S ribosomal RNA, internal transcribed spacer 2, and large subunit ribosomal RNA". The stretch from base 1 to 120 matches the Rfam family "5.8S ribosomal RNA", at positions 35 to 154 of the family's 154-position model. The record is from RNAcentral.